Molecule: transfer RNA, 76 nt
Filed under: Bacillota bacterium
Lineage: Bacteria; Bacillati; Bacillota
Also listed under: 1 other name
Description: tRNA-Phe
Rfam family: tRNA
About the family: Transfer RNA (tRNA) molecules are approximately 80 nucleotides in length. Their secondary structure includes four short double-helical elements and three loops (D, anti-codon, and T loops).
Source: RNAcentral
GCCGCGGUAGCUCAGCCGGUAGAGCAGAGGACUGAAAAUCCUCGUGUCGGCGGUUCGAGUCCGCCCUGCGGCACCA